UAUCCUGGCUCAGGAUGAACGCUGGCGGCGUGCCUAAUACAUGCAAGUCGAGCGAAUGGAUUAAGAGCUUGCUCUUAUGAAGUUAGCGGCGGACGGGUGAGUAACACGUGGGUAACCUGCCCAUAAGACUGGGAUAACUCCGGGAAACCGGGGCUAAUACCGGAUAACAUUUUGAACCGCAUGGUUCGAAAUUGAAAGGCGGCUUCGGCUGUCACUUAUGGAUGGACCCGCGUCGCAUUAGCUAGUUGGUGAGGUAACGGCUCACCAAGGCAACGAUGCGUAGCCGACCUGAGAGGGUGAUCGGCCACACUGGGACUGAGACACGGCCCAGACUCCUACGGGAGGCAGCAGUAGGGAAUCUUCCGCAAUGGACGAAAGUCUGACGGAGCAACGCCGCGUGAGUGAUGAAGGCUUUCGGGUCGUAAAACUCUGUUGUUAGGGAAGAACAAGUGCUAGUUGAAUAAGCUGGCACCUUGACGGUACCUAACCAGAAAGCCACGGCUAACUACGUG
RNAcentral lists this ribosomal RNA (512 nucleotides) under uncultured Bacillus sp. RNAcentral describes it as "bacterial SSU rRNA". It matches the Rfam family "Bacterial small subunit ribosomal RNA", at positions 15 to 507 of the family's 1533-position model. The record is from RNAcentral. Lineage: Bacteria; Bacillati; Bacillota; Bacilli; Caryophanales; Bacillaceae.